This 153-nucleotide unclassified non-coding RNA is filed under the name soil metagenome. Its description in RNAcentral is "partial internal transcribed spacer 1". The record is from RNAcentral.
ACACAAUAAUAUCCAAAACCUUUUGGAUCAACCCAACCUUAGUGAACCGUUUAUUCUUUACUUCAAUAAUUUUUUCUCUAAACUCAAUCUGAUUUGUAUAAUGUCUGAUCUUUUUUCUCGAAUAACUUUGAGAAAAAUCAUUCUAACGUAAUA